AUUUCCUAUUUCUUUAGUAGACACUUCCCCAUUUUUACUUGGGUCAUGGUAAUAAUAUAUAUUAAUCAUUUUUUGUCAAUAAUAUACAUUACUUGCAUUGUUUAGAUGAUGUACAUCUCUAGGGUCUGGUUUGAUACAAGAGACUAAGACAGUGCCAUUGGUGUAAGCUUCCUAGUUAAUAUGUGUUUGUAAAUAACAAGAAUGGAUUUUAAAAUUGAUUCUAAAACAGCUAAAUUAUAUCUCAAUACAGUACCUUUCAGCUUGUAAAGCACAUAGACUUUCUUCUCUUAGAAAGAACAAGCGUAUGUAAGUGUAAGGAAAGGGAGGAUGAUUUAGAUUCUCUGAAAUCAAAAGGAGAGGAUUGCAGAAAUCUGGUAUGCCUCACCCUUCUGCCUAUCUCCCUCUCUGAUCUACCCUUUCUAUAUAUACGUGCACAUAGCUACAGGAUUGCAAGCUGAAAUUCUCCCAGGUCUUUUAUAUACAGUAUUAAUAAAAGAUAACCACAGUUCCUCAAGACUUCUUAUUACUGGUAGAUAUGUUUCCUUUACUGGUGUCUAAGAUUACCAGAUGUCUAAGAUUGCAUUCUAGGAGAAGAAUUUUGCUCAAAUAUAUCUAUUACUUGAAGAUGUCCCUAACGCUGCACGUAUUAAUUUGUAAACUACAAACUGAAACUUGCAAAAUAUGAUCAGUCACUCUGUAGCUUGUUAGAUUUUUAUAUUUUAAUACUUAAUGGUCAUUGUUUUGUCAAAUCUUCUUGACGAUAAACCAUAGAUAUUCAUGCUUCAGUUUUCUUUAUGAAUCCUGUCAUUAUCAUCUGCAUAAUUUCUUUUGCAGAUUAGUAUUGGUUUUGUCUUUCAUAAUCCUAUAAGUUAACUGGAAGUCAAAAGUUUUAAUUACUAAAAUAGUAAUUAUUGUAAGCUUCACUCUUAAACAUGUCGGAUUUUAAUAAUAAAGAGCUGUCAUUUCACCUUGACAGUGUGGACUCUACAAGUGGUACCAUCAAACUGAACUCUUGCAGGACCUCCAGAUUCACUUUAAUCCGAAACAUAUAUAUAUUGCAUUGAUUGUUCAACUAUAUAUGCCAGUUCUACAUGCCUGCCAUGAAACUUUUAAUAGAUUACUCAUGAAACUAAUUUAUAGUAUGUAAGUUAUAGUAUUAAAUUCUGCAGGUUUCCUAUCGUGUUUCACCCAUUUACAUACGUAUCUUCCUUUCUUAUCAGCAUGAAAGAGAAAUCUCUACGGUUGAGGAUCCUUUUGAUGCUCCAACAUAUAGUAUCCCACAGAAACCAAUGACAUUUACUGAGGAAGCUUCAUACAGUCUUUAUAUUCUUGCAGGUCUUGGAAUAGCUGCUGACGCAGCCUAUGGUAUUUUCUCGGAGCUUAUAUUUACCCCAAAAGAGUAAGACGUAAUUACAUAUCUAGCAUUUUUAGCUAAUAUUAGUAAAAUCUUCAAAAUUGAGGAUUUCGUCUUUCUUCAUUUGCUGAAUUUAAUACAUGCUUAUAUACACUUCAGUUGGUCCACCUCUCCCCUGCUGCUUUGUUAAGGUUUGUAAAAUUACAUAUGUAAUAUAUAAUUUGAUUUCACCAGUGGUAGUAAGCAUGUCAAUUGAGAGUAUUAGUAGCAGAGUAAUGGUCCUCCUGACUAAACCAUUCCUGCAUUUCACAUUGUAGAAAUGAAUUUAAUGAAGUAUUAAUUGGUAGUGUUGGCGGACAUAAUUCACUGUCUUUGAGGUGUAUUUUAAAAAAAUUUGUAUCAACUUGUGUUAUAGCCAGGGAAUAUAGUACAAAGGUAAGCCUUCUUUUUAAUAACUUUACAAGUCCCAGAAAAAUUAGCUAGGAAUCUCAUUAUUAAAUAUUUCACAUUUUGGCUUCAUUAAAUAGUACGACAUUUUGGCGCUUUUGCAAGUUCAAGUUUUUGUGUUACUCUGUAGAUAUAGUUUAUUAUAAUCUGUUUCUAGCUAUGAUGCACACUAUGAGAAACAAAUUAACAUACUUAAUUUAGUUGUUAGCAUCGCUUUUUAAAUCUAUUCUUCUAGUGUCAUAUUGAUGUCUUAAGUUUAAGUAACAAGUACUAUUGAUCUAUUAGAACUAAAUCUAUUCUUUGUGCAACAUUAUAGUAUAUGGCCAUCUAGUUUGCAGCUUCCACUUCAUAAUAAUUUGUAAUUGUAGCCGAAUAGUAAAACUUUAGAAAUGCAUAUGUAGGACAAUAGCUUCUGAUAGAAAUCACAUAAUUUAUAAUAACGUGGAAUUUAUGAAAAAAAAUAGAUAUUAUUUACUAAGCAAUAACUUCUAUUACAUAUUUUAAGUACUUACACGUAGCACGAAAAAAUUCAAAAUAAUUUGAUUUACCUAAUUCUCAUUUUUAAAAGUUAAUCUUAUUUAUUUAUCAAUAUUUCAUAUUAUAUAUAUAUUUUUUCUGAAGUACAAUAAUUCAUAUUUAUUUAGAUAUAUUUUUUUAUAAAUAUAUAAAUAAAAAAUUAACUAUUAUCACCUAAAUAUAUAUUUUUGGGGCCCUUUUACAGUUGGGGGCCCCAAGCGACCUCUUAACUGGUCUUAGUGUUGAGCUGGGGGUGGAGAUGAAUAUAGUUUUAUUAGUCCUGUUCCUGAUGCUGGAAAUUCACAAAUCCAAUCUUUUUACUAAGUUACUUAAGGUCCCCUGCGUGAAUGCUUUCCUGUUAUAUACUUCAUUUUCUAUUAGAUACCUACUUUCCUGUGUUUGUCCUAUGUAGUUCUAUAUGAGCAAGCAUCAUUGACUGGCUAUUGACCUCAUGCCAACUUUUCAAUUACUUCAUAUUGCAAUUCCUUGAAAAAAAAGUUUGAAGAUAAGAUCACUGAGUUUCAGACUCUGAGGCAAACCAUUCAUCAUGUAUCGAGAGUGAUUGAUACAAGAGCUGACCGGCUACUCCAGUUCCAAAAUCUAAGGUCGAGGAGCUGAACGCAAAUAUUACUUAAAGUGAGCUCAACGCACCGCUUCUGGAACCACUCAUGGCACCACUUCCGGCACCACCGAUUCUUGAAUAUAACUGUUUCUGCGAUUACCUUAGUUACUAUGAAUUUGUCGUACUUAAUUUUGUAGUUAGAUUGUUUUGAUGUUGUGUUUCUUAAAUGGUUUGGAUGAGAUUGUUUUAUGUUGGACUUGCUGGAGGAUGGUUGGAUAUUUGUUGUACUAGAGUUUGGUAUUUGUAGUUUUAGCUGGAUGUUUGGUGGGAAGUUUGGAUGGAUGUUUGUAGGAUUAUUUGUAUUUUUAUUGGGAGUGUUACAAAAACAAUGCAGGCAUUGCAGAAUUUUUCAAAAUAUGUGUUACAAUAGCUCAUUUUAAUGUUACGUUUGAUUACUAUUUGUGGUA
Daucus carota subsp. sativus is the source of this 3346-nucleotide long non-coding RNA. RefSeq lists it as uncharacterized. The transcript has 3 exons. The record is from RefSeq and is a predicted model, not a curated record. Lineage: Eukaryota; Viridiplantae; Streptophyta; Magnoliopsida; Apiales; Apiaceae.